UUGUGGUCACUCUCCUAGUGGCAAUAGUCUCUCUCACAUUGCCUUCAGAAACUUCAGCUAACUACCCUUACACCUCUCCACCACCACCGGCCUCUCCUCCCUACCAUUACAAGUCACCACCGCCUCCUUCUCCUUCUCCUCCAGUGCACUACUCACCACCUAAGCAUCCCUACCACCCUAAGUCACCACCACCUCCUGUGUACGCACCACCUAAGCAUCCCUACCACCCUAAGUCACCACCACCUCCUGUGUACCCACCACCUAAGCAUCCCUACCACCCCAAGUCACCACCACCAUCACCAAAGCCUUACCACUACAAAUCCCCACCACCACCUCCUGCUCCAGUGCACUCACCACCCCCACCUAAGGAGCCAUACCACUACAAGUCCCCACCACCACCACCCAAGAAGCCCUACCACUACAAAUCUCCCCCACCACCUCCUCCUCCAGUUCACUCACCACCACCACCCAAGGAGCCUUACCACUACAAAUCUCCACCACCACCACCCAAGAAACCUUACUAUUACAAGUCUCCUCCACCACCACCAAAGAAGCCUUACCACUACAUGUCUCCUCCCCCACCGGUGUACUCACCACCUCCACCAGUGCACUCACACCCACCACCAAAAAAGCCUUACCAUUACAAAUCUCCUCCCCCGCCAGAAUAUUCACCAGCUCCACCAGUGCACUCAACCCCACCACCAAAGAAGCCCUACCAUUACAAAUCCCCACCACCACCACCACCACACAAGAAGCCUUAUUACCCUGUUCACUCACCACCUCCACCUAAGAAGCCUUACCACUACAAAUCCCCACCACCACCUUCUCCUACUCCUCCUAAAUACUCACCACCUAAGCACCCCUACCACUACAAGUCUCCACCACCACCACCAAAGAAGCCUUACCAUUACAAGUCCCCACCACCUCCUUCUCCUACUCCCCCUAAAUACUCACCACCUAAGCACCCCUACCACUACAAGUCACCACCACCACCACCCCAAGAAGCCUUACCACUACAAGUCUCCACCACCACCACCUCCUCCAGUUCCCACACCAUCUCCACCCAAGAAACCUUACCACUACAAGUCUCCCCCACCACCCCCUCCAGUCUACAAGUCUCCUCCACCACCAGUUUACUCACCACCACCACCACCUAAGAAACCUUACAAGCCACCAACUCCUCCAGCAGUUCACCCACCACACGGUUACAUCUAUUCCUCACCCCCACCUCCUCACCACUACUAGAUAUUGAAAGUUUAAUUGCAUCAAGCUGGUAAGCUUCUCCAUUCUAUGCUAUUAUUCAUUAAUUAGUUAGUACUACUGUUGUCAAUUUGGAAAUCACCAUAC
This 1347-nucleotide long non-coding RNA is filed under the name Malus domestica (apple). RNAcentral's name for it is "long non-coding RNA (MDOM_LNC008886)". The record is from RNAcentral. Lineage: Eukaryota; Viridiplantae; Streptophyta; Magnoliopsida; Rosales; Rosaceae.